UAAGACAGAGGGGGCAAGCGUUGCUCGGAAUCACUGGGCGUAAAGGGCGCGUAGGCGGGAUGGCAAGUCAGUCGUGAAAUCUCUCGGCUCAACCGAGAAACGUCGGCUGAUACUGCCGUUCUUGAGGGAUGCAGAGGAGACUGGAAUUCCCGGUGUAGCGGUGAAAUGUGUAGAGAUCGGGAGGAACACCGGUGGCGAAGGCGGGUCUCUGGGCAUUUCCUGACGCUGAGGCGCGAAAGCGUGGGGAGCAAACGGGAUUAGAUACCCCGGUAGUCCACGCUGUAAACGAUGGGCACUAGGUGUCCGGGGUAUUGACCCCCUGGGUGCCGCAGCUAACGCAUUAAGUGCCCCGCCUGGGGAGUACGGUCGCAAGAUUA
Molecule: ribosomal RNA, 377 nt
Filed under: uncultured bacterium
Lineage: Bacteria
Description: bacterial SSU rRNA
Rfam family: Bacterial small subunit ribosomal RNA
Source: RNAcentral